GCCGAGGUGGUGGAAUUGGUAGACACGCUGGUCUUAGGAACCAGUGCCUAACGGCGUAAGAGUUCGAGUCUCUUCCUCGGUACAA
RNAcentral lists this transfer RNA (85 nucleotides) under Fidelibacterota bacterium. Its description in RNAcentral is "tRNA-Leu". It matches the Rfam family "tRNA". From Rfam's summary of the family: Transfer RNA (tRNA) molecules are approximately 80 nucleotides in length. Their secondary structure includes four short double-helical elements and three loops (D, anti-codon, and T loops). Lineage: Bacteria; Pseudomonadati; Fidelibacterota. The record is from RNAcentral.